This 27-nucleotide non-coding RNA is filed under the name Bombyx mori (domestic silkworm). Lineage: Eukaryota; Metazoa; Arthropoda; Insecta; Lepidoptera; Bombycidae. The record is from RNAcentral.
UAUCAGUUGUCCGUUAGGAAUGCCAGG